Molecule: non-coding RNA, 209 nt
Filed under: Desulfitobacterium sp. LBE
Lineage: Bacteria; Bacillati; Bacillota; Clostridia; Eubacteriales; Desulfitobacteriaceae
Source: RNAcentral
GAGAACUGAUAUUCCGACAGGUGGAAUGAAGGAGUAACGCCCGGAAACGCCUGCCUUGAUACUCCGACGUGCAAAACGGCGUGUAAUAGCUGUGUUGUACGAAGCUCGGUGAAGUCGGCAGAGAGCAACCGUAAGCAGAUUAUAUAUUCUAUCUGCACGAAAGCUGUUCAGAGGUGAAUGGUGUUGCCUAUAUGCCGGAGGUCAACAAA